GGCCAGUUAGCUCAGCCAGUUGAGCAUGGCGCUAACAACGCCAAGGUCACGGGUUCGAUUCCCGUUUGGUCC
This 72-nucleotide transfer RNA is filed under the name Apaloderma vittatum (bar-tailed trogon). It matches the Rfam family "tRNA". Rfam says of the family: Transfer RNA (tRNA) molecules are approximately 80 nucleotides in length. Their secondary structure includes four short double-helical elements and three loops (D, anti-codon, and T loops). Lineage: Eukaryota; Metazoa; Chordata; Aves; Trogoniformes; Trogonidae. The record is from Rfam by way of RNAcentral.